This 442-nucleotide ribosomal RNA is filed under the name Lathyrus linifolius. RNAcentral's name for it is "eukaryotic LSU rRNA". The stretch from base 302 to 442 matches the Rfam family "Eukaryotic large subunit ribosomal RNA", at positions 1 to 141 of the family's 3401-position model. The record is from RNAcentral. Lineage: Eukaryota; Viridiplantae; Streptophyta; Magnoliopsida; Fabales; Fabaceae.
UGCAGAAUCCCGUGAACCAUCGAGUCUUUGAACGCAAGUUGCGCCCGAUGCCAUUAGGUUGAGGGCACGUCUGCCUGGGUGUCACAUAUCGAAGCCUCCUGCCAAUUUCCUUUUGACAGGUAUUGUGCAGGGUGGAUGUUGGCCUCCCGUGAGCUAUUUCGUCUCAUGGUUGGUUGAAAAUUGAGACCUUGGUAGGGUGUGCCAUGAUAAAUGGUGGUUGUGUGACCCACGAGACCAAUCAUGCGCUGCUCUAUUGAAUUUGGCCUCUUUUACCCAUAUGAGUUUUUAAACGCUCGUGAUGAGACCCCAGGUCAGGCGGGGCUACCCGCUGAAUUUAAGCAUAUCAAUAAGCGGAGGAAAAGAAACUAACAAGGAUUCCCUUAGUAACGGCGAGCGAACCGGGAUAAGCCCACCAUGAGAAUCGGUCGCCCUCGGCGUUCGA